This is a long non-coding RNA of Rhipicephalus microplus (southern cattle tick), 257 nucleotides long. The record is from RefSeq and is a predicted model, not a curated record. Lineage: Eukaryota; Metazoa; Arthropoda; Arachnida; Ixodida; Ixodidae.
ACUGACAAGCUGCGUAAACCAUACGGAGGAACCUGCCAAGAAGAUGUGCCCACUCGACUGACAAGCUGCGUAAACCAUACGGAGGAUCACACAGUUGAAAUAGGCCUCGCCCUAGUUAUCCGGGAACAGGGCCUCCCACUACUACACGAUUGAAGCCAUUUCUGUUGACGUUUUUUGAAGAAACAAAUAUAGAUGCUAGCAGAUCCAUGUUUUGCUUUUUGUAUUGAAAAUUUUAUAAAACACCGUGUGUCACUGUA